Brienomyrus brachyistius is the source of this 454-nucleotide long non-coding RNA. RefSeq lists it as uncharacterized. The record is from RefSeq and is a predicted model, not a curated record. The transcript has 3 exons. Lineage: Eukaryota; Metazoa; Chordata; Actinopteri; Osteoglossiformes; Mormyridae.
AACGUCAUCAAAAUGCCCAGCGUAUGAUGUCAUGUAUUCUCGCAUAGGAAGUUAUUCUGUAGGUGAAGUAUUCCGUUUUAUAAGGUUUGAAAAAAAUUACACUAAGGCACAGGACAUAGAAACACAAGUUAUCAGCAUGAUGGAUCACGUGCAGGAGCCUGAAAACCUUUAAGAGAUCCGCUUUAAUUUAUAUGACGACUGUGUGGCAAAGAAAGUGCAGGAGGAUCUAAGGAUCUUUUGUGAGCUGGAGAAAAAGGGAGGGAAGUAAGACUUGCAACCCUGAUGGGCGAGACCUCAGCCUAGGGGGUAAGUGAGAGAAAUGGAAUGCAGGUUCAUGCAAACUGGAGACGAGGCAAACUAGAGACCAGAAAUGGAGGAACAACCACCCAGUUGUCUGUGAAGAUCACACCUGACACAUGGUCCACCCACCACAAGACCUCAGACUGACGGUGUC